This 262-nucleotide ribosomal RNA is filed under the name uncultured bacterium. Its description in RNAcentral is "partial 16S ribosomal RNA". It matches the Rfam family "Bacterial small subunit ribosomal RNA", at positions 512 to 773 of the family's 1533-position model. The record is from RNAcentral.
CAGCCGCGGUAAUACGAAGGGGGCUAGCGUUGUUCGGAAUUACUGGGCGUAAAGCGCACGUAGGCGGACAUUUAAGUCAGGGGUGAAAUCCCGAGGCUCAACCUCGGAACUGCCUUUGAUACUGGCGAUCUCGAGUCCGGGAGAGGUGAGUGGAACUCCUAGUGUAGAGGUGAAAUUCGUAGAUAUUAGGAAGAACACCAGUGGCGAAGGCGGCUCACUGGCCCGGUACUGACGCUGAUGUGCGAAAGCGUGGGGAGCAAAC